GGAUAACAACUUCCGCUCGGGAAGUUUGUAAAGGUCUGGGCUACCGGCGCGGCGUAGUGGAUGCAGCAUCCUAGUUGAGGACGCCCCGCUGAUCUGCCCUCCUUGGCACUGUGCUUCCCCAGAGGGGUGGCCUCGCUGUUCCCAUGGACAUGGCCCAGGAGCCAGUGACCUUCAGGGACGUGGCCAUCUACUUCUCAAGGGAGGAGUGGGCGUGUCUGGAACCCAGCCAGAGGACCCUCUACCGGGACGUGAUGCUGGACAACUUCAGCAGUGUGGCUGCUCUGGGUGAGCGCGGGCUGAGCGCUGCGUGAGCACAGGGUGAGUGCUGGGAGAGCUCUGCCGCUGCCUCUGGGCCCGGCUCGUCCAGGACAGUAGUGGGGCCUCCCAGCCGAGGGGGCUCAGGAGCUAGAAGUUAUUGGCUUAUGUAGACAGAGGGGCCCACUCAGCGUUUCUCUCGGGCUCCCUGGAGGCAGCCUCAUCUUCCUUCCUCUGACCUUGCCAGGGCCUUCCGUGGGCCUUGGUGUCCAGGCGCCUCCCUUCCUGUCAUCUCUGCUUCGGGG
This 560-nucleotide small RNA is filed under the name Pan troglodytes (chimpanzee). RNAcentral describes it as "retained intron". Lineage: Eukaryota; Metazoa; Chordata; Mammalia; Primates; Hominidae. The record is from RNAcentral.